UCAUCGUUCUUCUCCUCUUGUCAUUGUGAGGUGAAAACCCAAGAACCCAUCUAUUUUGGAUUUUGGUUUUAAGAGAAAUUGGGUUCUGAUUGUUGUUAAUAACUUCAUUGCUGGUGACGACGAUGCCGGACUCGAUUGCAUAGGUUCCCUUGUUCGUGGGCUUUGCGGCAGAAGACCCAGACCUCUCCAAGUUGUAAGUAUACGUCUGGGAACCUAUCUCGUGUUCAAUCUUUGAUUAUCAAAGAAAUAAGUUUGAUUUUGGGUUUUUGAACUUGGCUUUUGGUUUUCGAUGAUGAUGGGAGGCUGGGACUUAAUUGGGUGAGUUCAAUGGGUAGAGUCGGAUAACAAGUUGGAGCUAGUUCCAAUGGAGUCAUGCGUUGAGAAGAGAGAAGGAACCAGAGAAGUAGAAGAAGGCGUGCUGCUGCUUCUUGUCUAACAACGCAGCAAGAAGGAAAAUGUUUAAGCUAAUUUAUAGGACCUCCAGUUAUCCACGAUGCAAGUAGUGGUGGUGUUUGCCGAACAUUGUGGAGUAAAGGCUCAAGCCCCAGGAAUAUCAGAUUUUGAUUUUCGAGAUUGUAUGAUGACCUGAGAGUGAGCGGAGCAUAGCGACUACCUUGGGUUUCAAUCCCCUAAACCUCCGGAGGGGCUGUAUGGACGGUAUAGUGUCUGACAUCGCUUGUGGUGUGGCACUAUUUCUAGGUGAUACGGCGUAAAUGGACACUCUCGCUACUCCUUGCCGGUUGAAAAUGUUAAUCUUGCUUUGGAUGCAGGUACUGUGCACAAGAAUGGAGAGCGCUGAAUCAAGCUGGGUGUGCAUAAUUGUUCAAUGCUAAGUGUCUUUGAAACUUUGAAAUCACACGUAAGGUUUCAAUUUCAUAUCCUAGUGUUUGGCACAUUUCUUGUAUUAUUGGAAAUCUUGCCAUGAAUUGUUUGUCUUGCAAUUGCCUUAUUCUUCAACCAUUUACCCACACCGUCAAUGAGCCAUGUUUUGGUUAAUCGUGAAAAUGUCAUUUUUGAGUUGUAUUUUGACACUAUUCUUGCCUUGUGAUCUUUAGUUUGACUUCAAAGAAAGCUAGAAUGUUUUACACCUCAAACUAUUUCACGCUUUCGAUUUAAACUCUGAGUUUCGAAUUUCAUAAAUUAUGGUUUGUUUUGAGUAAAAUGCCUUGCGGUAAUUUAAGACGUAAGUUGGAUUAUCCAGCUUAUGUUUUAGAGACACGCGGCACU
Rosa chinensis is the source of this 1227-nucleotide long non-coding RNA. RefSeq lists it as uncharacterized. NCBI's taxonomy places the organism in Eukaryota, Viridiplantae, Streptophyta, Magnoliopsida, Rosales, Rosaceae. The record is from RefSeq and is a predicted model, not a curated record. The transcript is spliced from 4 exons.